GAUGAACGCUGACAGAAUGCUUAACACAUGCAAGUCUACUUGAACUUCGGUUUGGGUGGCGGACGGGUGAGUCACGCGUAAAGAACUUGCCUCACAGUUAGGGACAACAUUUGGAAACGAAUGCUAAUACCUGAUAUUAUGAUUUUAGGGCAUCCUAGGAUUAUGAAAGCUAUAUGUGCUGUGAGAGAGCUUUGCGUCCCAUUAGCUAGUUGGAGAGGUAACGGCUCACCAAGGCGAUGAUGGGUAGCCGGCCUGAGAGGGUGAACGGCCACAAGGGGACUGAGACACGGCCCGUACUCCUACGGGAGGCAGCAGUGGGGAAUAUUGGACAAUGGACCAAAAGUCUGAUCCAGCAAUUCUGUGUGCACGAUGACGUUUUUCGGAAUGUAAAGUGCUUUCAGUUGGGAAGAAAAAAAUGACGGUACCAACAGAAGAAGUGACGGCUAAAUACGUG
Molecule: ribosomal RNA, 454 nt
Filed under: uncultured bacterium
Lineage: Bacteria
Description: partial 16S ribosomal RNA
Rfam family: Bacterial small subunit ribosomal RNA
Source: RNAcentral